This 73-nucleotide transfer RNA is filed under the name Diaphorina citri (Asian citrus psyllid). It matches the Rfam family "tRNA". Rfam says of the family: Transfer RNA (tRNA) molecules are approximately 80 nucleotides in length. Their secondary structure includes four short double-helical elements and three loops (D, anti-codon, and T loops). The record is from Rfam by way of RNAcentral. Lineage: Eukaryota; Metazoa; Arthropoda; Insecta; Hemiptera; Psyllidae.
GCCUAGUUAGCUUAGUUGGUAUUGCGUCUGCCUUGUAAGCGCUAGGCCGUGGGUUCGAUUCCCGUCCGGGGCG